GUUGGGUGAGGGCCCGGGGCAGCCCCGCCCGGUCCGGCGCCAUUACGGCUCGAGCAGAGGAGUGCGAGUCGGGUUGUGCGUGAAGGGGUCCACCUCAGCGGCUAGACCAUUUGGACUGUAAUCAACAAGACGCUGGGUGAUGCAACAUGGAGGGACUAACCACAUUUAGCAUUAAACCAAAGCAGGAGACUAUUCUGAGUGGAGGGGAUAUUUUGAACAAGGAAUUCUUCUGACGGAUUGGCAGCAAACAUCUCAGGUAGUUAUAGCCAGGAGCUGCUCUAUUUGGGUCAACUGACAUCCACACUGGAAGGGGCAGGAUCAAGAGAGGCACAGGUCUGUUGAGCUCCUGACAUUCCCCUCGUUUGAGUACUGAACAAGAUGACUUCACCCUGCUUACUCCUGAUACAGCACGCUCAUAUUUACUGUUUCACUUGAGGACUGCAACACUUCGGGUAUAUCUACACUGUCAAAUAACUCAUAGCUUAUUCCCAGGGCCAGAUCCUCUUAUUGCCCAUACUACACAGAUAUUGGAGGAUGCACAGGCUUUCUUUAGAUAUUAAACAGCUAUAUCUGUCCAAAACAAGCUCAAGUAUGGUCUGGGGGAUACUUUCCUUGAAGAAUAAUUCAUUCCCAAGCACUUUGAAUGAGACUGUACCUGGGCUGACUGCACAGCAUGGCCUGGCACUGGUAACCCUAUAUUCAGGUGGAUGCAUCUCACAGCAUAGAAGCAGCCUUUGAGUUUGUUAUGCAGGCCAUCCAUGAGUGCAGAACAUUUUCAAAGUAAAUAAAAUAUUUUGAUUGUUGUGAUUAUGAUCCCCUCAGUGCUAGGAUUUCUCAUACAGUAAUGAAUUAGGAACUCAUUAUUUUCUUAAAACACGAGGGCUGGUGACAGUGCAUCUCUGGCCACAUAGCUGGACUGACAUGAAAAGAGUCCUUAGAUUUGAUCGAUCCUUGUAUCUGUGAAAGAGCAGGGAGUUUUAAACAAGGUUUUAAUUACCUCACAACGCAAAAGAAAAGUUGAAGGUACUGAUUGCUCUGCAGGGCUCUGCAUUUCAGCAUGUUUCAUAUUUUCUUCCCAAGGGACAGGUAGAGUACUCAAGAGCUGAAAAGCAAUUAUGUUAUACAAGAUGUUUAAGAGCAGUUUCAAGGCCAUCUUGCCAGUCUCUUCUAUUAUCUUUUUUUUUUUUUGAGAGAGAGGCUGAAAUCUCCAUCUUAAGCACAACUGGCUCCUUUCCUUGCUUCCUAUAGAAGAUCCAGGAGGCUGUUGUUCAUUCUUUCAUCACAGUUGCCAAAUUUCUAAUUAAGUCGUUGUGCCUGCCCCCAUUAAGUCAAUCAGAUCAUUGCCACUAAUUGCAAUAGGAACAGGAGCAGGCUUUAAGGGCCAAGUCUUGCAGAAAAGCUCAGCAUCUGUAAUUGGAGACAGGUUUUCAAAGGAAGUGGCAACCACAUGCAAGUCACCAUCCCUGCAGGAACCACACGUUUGCCACGAGCAUUUGCCACGAUGGCCUCAGCUCUGGGAGCAGAGCGCUUGAGCGCCCUCUAAGUGUAACAGCAAUUAAGAACUGUCAGCAGCUCUCGGGGAGAGGCAGUCGGCACACAUCUUUCUGCCUGGCUGGAGCAGAUGGCCUGUGAGUGGUAGAAGAGGAGUAUCCGGGCCUGGAGAUCCCAGUGACAUACCUGACAUAUUGGUGCUAUUAGCAGAGUGGGAGAAGAAAAGCUACUCAUCCCAAGUGCAGCAAGGAGUCAAAGUUCUGGUUGUUUUGGGGAGCAGCAGGGUAUUCUCUUUUUUGCAUGCUUUUAUACCCAAGUCAUUGAUAAGUUUGCCAGCUGCUGGCGUCAGCAGGGUUGUUUCCAAUGAAAUCAUGCUUUCUCUAGACCAGGUAGCCUGUUGUUCUCAAGGAGCAACUGUGCCAGUAUAUCAUCAGCUUGGCUCAGUCUUUCCUCUCUACUCAGUGACCAGUAAAAGGAAUCCCUUACUCAACCAAAUCACAAGACAGAUUUUGCCAUUUGUACUGGGCACAUCCUCACAAAGGAGGGAAACUGCUGAACGGCCUCCCAAAGUGAACAGAACUGAUGGGAAGCAGCAGAUUUAGCUAAUUCAUGUUUAUGCACGUAACUAUUAAAAAUAACAGGAACUUUAUAGUUGAUUUUCACUUCAGGAAAUCAACUUUUUAGUCAAUAAAACAUCAAUGUUAUGAUUCUUCUGACUGAGAAACAAUCUUGGUGUCCUUACGGUAUACAAUAUACUUAAAUGCAUGCAUACCUGUUGCAGUGCUGGGGCAGUAACGCAGUUAUCUGCACUAAUAUUCAGCCACCUGUUUUUGUUCUUGCUGCUCUUCUCCUUGGUCUUACUGUUCUCACCGCUGGCUCUUGGACAGGAAUACUUAUGGGCUUAUUGUCUCAGGUGAGUUAGAAUCAUAGAAUAACGUGAACUAGAAGGGACUCACAAGGAUCAAGUCUAAUACUGCAUUCUUUUAUUCUUCUUCUGCAAAUCUCACAGCUUAUUAGGGUUUUGCACACAUUGGCCUGCAGGCCCAUAAUUUGCGUCUCAGGGCACCUCUCACAUUUGAGCUUGUAGAUUGUAGCAUGGGGAGAGGUAUCACAGAUUUCGUCUUUGCUUUAGCAUUUAUGGUCAUACAGAAGAGUCAGUAUGGCUUAGAUUCAGAUCUGUGGGUGAAAUCAGCCUCUGAUACAACAAUUCAUCUCAGUGAAAUUGCAGUGGGGUUGAUUAUAAUUAACACGUCUAGUAAAGUACUUCAGUUUUUAGUCUCAAAUCAUGUAUGCUUAUGCACUCGUGUUGGUCAAUUUCUUCCUCCUUGUAUUUUUAUUCAAAUGAGACAUUUGAUAGAAAUUCAGUGUUGAAAACAUUUCUCAGAACUUCAUACAGUUUUCUCAAAAAUCUGUUCUUGCAAUGUAUCACUGUUCUUUUCAGCAGUUUUCUUGUACUUUAUUUCCAUGUACUAUGCAAUGUAAGAUUAUACUUGUCAGCCUUUUUUAUUUUCCCCCUAACUAUGCUUUCUAAAAAUGUUUUGGCUCUCCCCUUAUGGCUAACAUCUGUGGGACUUUCAUGUUACUCCAGUAGUGAACAGGAACCCUAAGAAACCUAAGCCAAGAAGCAACAAUUUCAGAUGACAUUCUUGAUGUAACAAUCCUGUCUGUACUAUCUGCAGAACAUAGAAGAGUCUUCACUGUGUCUCUGUCAACUAGAAUUUAGGGAAGAUGAAUAACUAGAAUCAGUUAUAAAAUUCAAGAUAGCUUACAGAUAAUAAUCUGUUAAAAUGUUGUACAGUGUAUAGAAAUUGUCACUGUUUUAAGAUUCAUAGCCCUUUGUCUGUAAAGUCAAAGCAUUUAGAUUCAUUUACACUCAGCAUUCACCUUUCAGAUCCAAAACAUUUUAAACAGCUCUUGAACUAACCAAGAAUAGCUUCUUCUCUUUUUUUUUCUUUUCUGCACAGUCACCUUGUAGUUUUAAAGACUGGUGUCUUGGGACCUCAUAAAGCCCAGACCAAUUGCCUCAUCAGAGCGAUCUCCUAUUUUUCUUCCCCAAGAGUACAGAGUUCCUGUUUCUACUCCAGAGGAGAUGAGAUCUGUGACAGGUCUGCUGUCCUUCUGCCCUUCUUGUGUGGGUCAGCAGGUAGCAUUCCAGAGAUGUCUGUGUUCAAGUUUGAAAUGAAGGAAUGAAACAUUUACUAAUCUGUCUGCAGCUUUUAAAAUAGCUCUGGGAAGCUGUUCCUCAGAGCUUUGGAGUAUGGUGUCUGUUGCCAAAGUAGGUGGAGUGGAAGGAGGAGAAAUACACUGUGGGCAAUAAAAUGUAAUAAAUGUAAUGUAUUGCAUGUCUGCUACCAUUGCAUUUAUGGUAGGUAUAUGUCUGUAGUCUCUGCAAGCAGAAACGUCUUUGUGUCUUCGUAUUGUUGGAUUUCCAUAGUACCCACAACUAGCAGAGCACAGGCUAUCUAAUCCGUUGCAACUGUGGCUAUUUCUUCCUCUAAAAGCUGGAAAGAUGGCUUUGUUUCUCAAGAAGGGGAGAUGAUUUAACUAGAAUGGUUACAGGCGAUUUCCUCCAUUGUAGUCAUUACAUUUCUGAGUUCAUAAUAAUUGGCUUAAGGGUGUAGUUUGUUCAAUUUUCCCAAAGCCAUUUAUUUCACUGUAGGAAAAAAAAAAAAAAUAUGGUAUUUUUCAAUUUGUAAUUUUAGUCUAGUGGGAAAAUGUUAAACAUUUUCAUACCGAGGUGUAGACUGUAUUUUCAGCUUUCAGCUUUUGGGUUGUAAUGAUUUAGUUCUUUGCAGCAGUCUGCUGAGAGAAUGUGUUUAUUCCUCCAGGGACAGAGCUUAUCCAUGCCUGCGACAACCCUCAGUCUGUGAAUUUAAGAAGUUACUGUUUACAAGGUCUCCGCUGUCUUGAGUUCUGUCAUACUUUUUGAGGGGAAAAAAUAAGCUAUGCUGGCUGGAGUCCAAAAGAGGGAGGCAAACAUGGAAGAAAGCUACAGAAAAAGUGAACUGUGAGGUCAGGUUGGAAGAAUUGGAGUUUUGAGAUCUCUGGAAAAAAGAUGGAGUGGAAUUAUAAUAGGAACCUUCAAAUAUUUCAGAGCUUCUCUUGGAUAGGACAGUCACCAAUGUAUCUUUGUGUGUAGGACAGGCUGCAAUCUAUUUCAUUUGCCAUAGGUAAGAUUUAGGUUGGAUGUGGGGAAAAUUAUUUUGUCAGAGAGAGCAAUAAAAUGCUGAAAUAAGCUCCUUGGGAGGCUGUGGAAUUUCCUUGAGUCAGGGGAAGCCCCAGAUCUGCCAGGGGGUCCUGAGCACAUGAGCUGGUCUGAAAAGGGAGGCAGGAUGGUACCUCUGCCCAUGUGCCUCAAGUCGGGGUUGCAGCCCUUGUGGAGGGUGCGGAGGGCCCAAAGGAAGCAAUGAAGUGUUGGAAAAUGUGCUAGAAAAUGUGCUUAAAAAGAAAUCUCUAUUAAUGAUAAGAAAAAACUGAUCCUUAGGAAAGAAAAGAGCCUUACACAGUUUGAAAAUGUAUAAAAUUCUGCAGCUCAAAAUAUUUUCCUUUCCUUUCUUAAAUAUUUGAUCCUUAAUGCUACUUGCACAGCCAGCCUUCAGGUGAUUAUAAAAAGACAGAUGAGCCAAAAAACAGGUCGCACUUUCAAAAAGGUGGAGAAAUAGCAGACUAGACAAUCUUGUCUUUCCUUCCAGCCCUAUGCUUCUAGGGUUUUUGCAGUGCAGUUAAUACAGAGGAAGGCUGAUUAAUGAAAUCUUGUCAUGUGUCGGAUGCUGAGCUUCCUCCCACAGACAGAACUGAAACACCCACAGACCUCUGCCAGUUGCUGGUAGCCUAAGCAGCACUUGAGCUGAAGCAAACACGCCAAUAAAAAAAAGUGAAUUAAAAUAGGUCUGAGACACAGAGCAUAUCAGCAACUUCAUGGUGAAAAGAAGUCACAGAGUGCUUUAGGUUGGAAGGGACCUCUGGAGUCAUCUGGACCAGCCCAACAAUGGAAAGUGUUCAGAAGCCCUCUAAAUAAGCAAUGCACGGCCAGAAAAUUCAGUGUAAUGGUUAGACAUAGAGAAACCCAGGCCUAUUAGAUUUUUAAAAUGUAUCAGUAAGGUCUCCAAAUGUCCUGACUCCUGUCCCAUGCUAAAGUAACCCAAUCUGGAGAUGUAUUUAAGACAAUACCUGAAUUCAAGAACUACUUGUUCCCCUCCACAGUGUGGGCUGUGUCUAAAGCUUAAUUACCAAUGCACAAGUUUAACGGUUGGAAAUUUCAAGGUUUCCAGCUCCUUUCUCCCACAAGAUGCAUUAACCUGCCACACGGUGUCAGGAAAUUCAAAUUACAAAUGUGCUUCAGUAGCCAACUUACCUGUAAAAGUCAUGGACAAUGGUAAGGCAAGGAAAGCAAGUAGCCCAAAUAUAAAGCAUGCUGUGAAUGGGAAAAAAUAAAAAUAAAAAGAGAAAAUAAAGACAGUGUUAUUGGAGUUUAGAAGUUCCAUCCAGUGCUUUACAGUGUACAUGAUGCAGAAGGAAUAUCAUGUUUAUUGUGCAGCAUCUGACAUGAUGAAACCAGGAAAUGGCCUGUUGUUCUUCCAGAGCUCAAGUCUCCAUUUUUUAAUUAAUACAUUUUAGUUCUUACAUCAGUAAUAAAACAAUGAGAGACACAAAGUACUUUUGCAGCUACUACUUUUAAAUGUCUGAUUGCAAAGAAUUCCUUAGCCUGCACCAGCUUCAGACACCACCAGGUUACUGUGUGAUAACAAGCAGCUUGCAUGAGCUAAUCCAUGGCAACUGAUGAGCUGUGUCUGUUUGCGAAGCAAAUAGCAGCUGUAAUGCCAUUACGCUCGGUUUUCCGUGAUAGCUAAAUAAGCAGUCUUUAUUGCACAAGUGAAGAGUUUGGGGCUAGUCUGGCCCCCCGCCCCAGCUCAGCACGUGGACACAAAGACAGGGAGCAGCUUGUCACUGGGAGAGAUCAGCUCCAGCUCCAUGGAGGGAUGCUGUAAGGGUAUGCAUCAACUCUUCUCUUGGAUGAGAGGGUCUGAGGUGCUUAGUUACUCCUCAGAGAGCUACUAUUGUUUCUGAUCCCAGGAACUUUCUAGCACAGUCCGAUGCUGCUGAGGAUGAGUGCUUACCUUUGCAGAAAACCAGAAAUAAUAGCAUCAAUAACAGCGUGAGCAGCCUGCCUUCUGCAAGGGCUGUCACCUCUGUGCCUCUUCAUGGGCACUCUGCAAUAUUAAAGUGAGAUGCUGCUCCAGAAAAUGAGGGGGGAGCAUAAUGAGGAAAUUCUGCAGUGAGCAUCCCUGCAGAGCACUUCUUGAUCUGCAAGCAAGUGCUCAAGGAAGCAAGUGUGUGGUAGGCAUAGUCUGUAGAAGUAGGCAUAAGUUGCAGAAGGGCUGAGAAAAGAGUAGGGUGCCUCCUUGGAAGCUUAUGAAAAAAGUCAGAGCUCAUACCCCAGCACUGCAGGCUUUGCCAAAUAAUUUGCUCCUUUUGUGCCACAUAAGAUUGGACCCACUGCCUGUGCCAUGAUGCCAUGCAGUGCCACACAGGGUGGCUGUACAGUGCUGCCAAAGCAUCACCAUCAGGGUGCUUGUAGGAAUGGGGAAACAGCACUGCCUCCGUUUUCCAGAAGGAGAAACUGAGUCAGAGCAUAUAGUGGCAUCAUCAAAAUCCAGAUUUUCUGCCUUGCAGUCACUUUUCAUGGGAACCCCCCCCCCCCCACCAAC
This is a long non-coding RNA of Numida meleagris (helmeted guineafowl), 7199 nucleotides long. RefSeq lists it as uncharacterized. Lineage: Eukaryota; Metazoa; Chordata; Aves; Galliformes; Numididae. The record is from RefSeq and is a predicted model, not a curated record. The transcript is spliced from 4 exons.